Molecule: transfer RNA, 70 nt
Filed under: Parachanna insignis
Lineage: Eukaryota; Metazoa; Chordata; Actinopteri; Anabantiformes; Channidae
Also listed under: 1 other name
Description: tRNA-Ile
Rfam family: tRNA
About the family: Transfer RNA (tRNA) molecules are approximately 80 nucleotides in length. Their secondary structure includes four short double-helical elements and three loops (D, anti-codon, and T loops).
Source: RNAcentral
GGAGCUGUGCCUGAACUAAAGGGCCACUUUGAUGUAGUGCUUCAUGUGGGUUAAAAUCCCACCAACUCCU